CAGUCGCCGCGGUAAUACAGAGGGUGCAAGCGUUAAUCGGAUUUACUGGGCGUAAAGCGUGCGUAGGCGGCUUCUUAAGUCGGAUGUGAAAUCCCUGAGCUUAACUUAGGAAUUGCAUUCGAUACUGGGAAGCUAGAGUAUGGGAGAGGAUGGUAGAAUUCCAGGUGUAGCGGUGAAAUGCGUAGAGAUCUGGAGGAAUACCGAUGGCGAAGGCAGCCAUCUGGCCUAAUACUGACGCUGAGGUACGAAAGCAUGGGGAGCAAACAGGAUUAGAUACCCCAGUAGUCCCUGUCUCUUAUAC
RNAcentral lists this ribosomal RNA (301 nucleotides) under uncultured bacterium. Its description in RNAcentral is "partial 16S ribosomal RNA". It matches the Rfam family "Bacterial small subunit ribosomal RNA", at positions 509 to 807 of the family's 1533-position model. The record is from RNAcentral.